Carya illinoinensis is the source of this 643-nucleotide long non-coding RNA. RefSeq lists it as uncharacterized. The record is from RefSeq and is a predicted model, not a curated record. The transcript has 2 exons. Lineage: Eukaryota; Viridiplantae; Streptophyta; Magnoliopsida; Fagales; Juglandaceae.
CCCGAGCUUCCUUGCUCUAUAAAAACCUCAACCCUAAGCAGGAAAAAUCCCCAUCGCCGCCCCUUUACGCCACUUUCUUCAAGAGGGGUUUAGGGUUUCCUCUGUAUAAUCGCAAAGUCUAUUUGUUUUUGCUACAUCUAUUGAUUUGCUAUUUUGAUGUUCGUUUGCUCUGUAAAUGAAGGCUUUCAAUUGAAUCUCUUCAACAUCGCUUUCGAUAGGCGUUGCGUUCGUCGACGGGUUUAUAAUUCCCAGAAGAACGCGUCAACGGAAGCGUAAAUUGAUCCCAAUUCCGACCCCUUUUUAUCGAAUAUUUUCUUAUAUCCUAAACAUCUACGCAACAUUUUGUUGGUCGUGGUUUGUUUCGUGGUCGGAUUGCGACAUUCUUAUUUUCUUCUAAAAAUUUGUUUUGUUCGAAUAUAUUUUUCUUUUGUGGCAGUGUCUUAGGAACGGUGAGAAUGGUUUUGCGUUGCGUGUUGCAGUUGCUUCAUACUGGUGAACUCUCUCUUGAUUGAUAGUGGGAGAUGUUCAAGUUUCCGGAGCAUAAAGAUCUAUCACCUUUCGAGAUUCAUGCCAUCCGUAUUUUUCACUUAUAAACAGUCCCAUGAUCCUCGAGUAAAUGAAAUUUUAGAAAUUUUUGUGUAAA